Long non-coding RNA from Hibiscus syriacus, 803 nucleotides. RefSeq lists it as uncharacterized. Lineage: Eukaryota; Viridiplantae; Streptophyta; Magnoliopsida; Malvales; Malvaceae. The record is from RefSeq and is a predicted model, not a curated record. The transcript has 3 exons.
AACCCAGCCGCAUUCUCUUCAUCUUCUCAAACGUUCCCCUCUUCUCUACUCUCCCAUCUCUACUUGGUGAUAACAUUAAAAAACCACCACCAUUUUGACAGGUAGAUGAUUGAGAACGAAAAGAUCUAUUCACCAUCAAUUGCUUUGACUUCUCUUUGGGGCUAUCACCAAAAUAUUUAGACAAAAUGCGUGACUAGUAAACAACCGGAUUUAGGAACUUCAGACCUUUCCUUUACUCUCGGCCAUGUACAUGCGAAACAAAGAGAAGAGGAAGCUCAUGGAAUUUUUAGUUUUUCUUCAAGCUAUCAGGAACCAGUUUUUCAUUUUAUUUUAUUUUUCAGACCUUUUCUUUAGUCUCGUUUACAGAUUUUUCCUCUAAUUUUACAAAUGAAAGAUAUGCUCAAAAGAACUCACCGGUGGGCUUCGAAAGAUGAUGGCCCCCUGCUCUCGUUUCACUCACACUCGGCGAUGACCCCAAGACAAAUAACACUUACCCGAGAACAAAAAAUCGUUUAGGUAUUGACUUUGGCACAAAUUUCUGCUGAUUUUGCUUUUGUUUGCUGCUGAAUUGAUAAUAAUGGCUUUGGUGGCUGCUUGAUUAGCGGCGACUCAUACGCGUGGAAGGGAACAGCUGUAAAGCACACAUGCAUCUCUAGUGACCGGUGGGUCGGAUCCGAACUUGGUUAGGGUCUGGACCGAUUCGAGUUGAUUUUUGGGCACCAAGAUUUGUUGUAAUAUGAGUUUGUAAAUUGGGCCUGUAAAUGUAAAAUAUAAUAAUUAAUAAUAAUAAUAUUAUUAUUAUA